RNAcentral lists this ribosomal RNA (253 nucleotides) under uncultured bacterium. RNAcentral describes it as "partial 16S ribosomal RNA". It matches the Rfam family "Bacterial small subunit ribosomal RNA", at positions 524 to 776 of the family's 1533-position model. The record is from RNAcentral.
UACAGAGGGGGCAAGCGUUGUUCGGAAUUACUGGGCGUAAAGGGCGCGUAGGCGGCCGCCUAAGUCAGACGUGAAAUCCCUCGGCUCAACCGGGGAACUGCGUCUGAUACUGGGUGGCUUGAAUUCGGGAGAGGGAUGCGGAAUUCCAGGUGUAGCGGUGAAAUGCGUAGAUAUCUGGAGGAACACCCGUGGCGAAAGCGGCGAGCUGGAUCACUACUGACGCUGAGGAACGAAAGCUAGGGGAGCAAACAGG